UGGGGAAUUGUUCACAAUGGGCGCAAGCCUGAUGACGCAACGCCGCGUGGGGGAUGAAGGUCUUCGGAUCGUAAACCCCUGUCGAAUGGGACGAAUAGCCCGCGAAUUAAUACCUCGUGGGAAUGACGGUACCGUUAAAGGAAGCCACGGCUAACUCUGUGCCAGCAGCCGCGGUAAUACAGAGGUGGCAAGCGUUGUUCGGAAUUACUGGGCGUAAAGGGCGCGUAGGCGGCCAUCUAAGUCAGACAUGAAAUCCCCCGGCUCAACCUGGGAACUGCGUCUGAUACUGGGAGGCUAGAGUUUGGGAGAGGGAUGUAGAAUUCCAGGUGUAGCGGUGAAAUGCGUAGAUAUCUGGAGGAAUACCGGUGGCGAAGGCGGCAUCCUGGACCAAUACUGACGCUGAGGCGCGAAAGCUAGGGGAGCAAACGGGAUUAGAUACCCCCGUAGUCCCUGAGCGGGCUGGCAAGGCGCAU
RNAcentral lists this ribosomal RNA (473 nucleotides) under uncultured bacterium. RNAcentral describes it as "bacterial SSU rRNA". It matches the Rfam family "Bacterial small subunit ribosomal RNA", at positions 355 to 825 of the family's 1533-position model. The record is from RNAcentral.